RNAcentral lists this transfer RNA (68 nucleotides) under Contacyphon sp. BT0012. RNAcentral describes it as "tRNA-Ala". It matches the Rfam family "tRNA". From Rfam's summary of the family: Transfer RNA (tRNA) molecules are approximately 80 nucleotides in length. Their secondary structure includes four short double-helical elements and three loops (D, anti-codon, and T loops). Further hydrogen bonds mediate the characteristic L-shaped molecular structure. tRNAs have two regions of fundamental functional importance: the anti-codon, which is responsible for specific mRNA codon recognition, and the 3' end, to which the tRNAs corresponding amino acid is attached (by aminoacyl-tRNA synthetases). tRNAs cope with the degeneracy of the genetic code in two manners: having more than one tRNA (with a specific anti-codon) for a particular amino acid; and 'wobble' base-pairing, i.e. permitting non-standard base-pairing at the 3rd anti-codon position. Lineage: Eukaryota; Metazoa; Arthropoda; Insecta; Coleoptera; Scirtidae. The record is from RNAcentral.
AGGAUAAUAGUUAAUUAUAACAUUUGAAUUGCAAUCAAAAAGUAUUGAAUAUAAAUCAAUUUAUCUUA